GAUGAAGAACGUAGCGAAAUGCGAUAAGUAGUGUGAAUUGCAGAAUACAGUGAAUCAUCGAAUCUUUGAACGCACAUUGCGCCCCUUGGUAUCCCGAGGGGCAUGCCUGUUCGAGCGUCAUUUCACCACUCAAGCCUGGCUUGGUGUUGGGCGACGUCCUCUUUGGGGACGCGCCUCGAAACGCUCGGCGGCGUGGCACCGGCUUUAAGCGUAGCAGAAUCUUUCGCUUUGGAAGUCGGGGCCCCGUCUGCCGGAAGACCUGCUCGCAAGGUUGACCUCGGAUCAGGCAGGGAUACCCGCUGAACUUAAGCAUAUCAAUAAGCGGAGGA
Molecule: unclassified non-coding RNA, 329 nt
Filed under: soil metagenome
Description: partial contains 5.8S ribosomal RNA, internal transcribed spacer 2, and large subunit ribosomal RNA
Rfam family: 5.8S ribosomal RNA (bases 1-120)
Source: RNAcentral